GCCGGGGGGAAGAAAGAGAAGGGCGUGUUGUGUCGUGAAGCGUGUUACUUGAGACUUUGGCGCGGUUGGGAACGUGUGCGCACAGAAUUUCUCCCUGUGCUGUGUUUUACGACAUUUGGAUUUUUUUAAAAAAAAUUGGAAAAUCCCUAAUGCACUCUGAAACAAGACCCCUUCCAAUUCCAGGAUACAAGUCAAAAGUGAAAUUCAUCAGCUGCCAUUUUGCUGAAGCAAGAGUCUCUCCAGCUUCUUAGGAACGUCUCUUACGGGUUGUCUUACUUAUCUGGAAAGGACCUGCCUCAUUCCAGAAUCAUGCAGGAGAAUCUGUUUCUUUGCUAAGAGGGCCAGCAAAGUUCUUAAGAAAAGGAAUUCAUGCACUGUUUUUGGUUUAUGGCUUUAUUAUUAAUCACUCUGGUGAUGCCACAAUAUGUACUACAAAAGGUGAUGGUGGAGAGUGCUGUCAAGUCAUAGCUGACUUAUGGCGACCCCUGCUGGGGGUUUCAAUGCAAGAGACUAACAAGAGGUUUUUAUUGCAAAAGGUAAUGCUACAUGAAAAUGAAUUAACUUUUGAUCUAUAGGACGAACGGGCUCACAUACUCACAGUCUUGGGAUCCUGUGUAUAGGGGGAUGAGGGCACCUACUCCCCACUGUGUAUAUUGCAUCUCUGGCCAGGGAGUGUGUGAAACUCCUACAUCUCACCAUGAAAGCUUUUGACUUCUAAGAAAUAUUUAUAUGCCUGAUUAUUCAGAAAGAUAUCAGAUCUACCAGAUUCCUGCACCACCCCAGGCACCAGCCGACAACUUCUUCUUUCAGAGCAAUCCAACAGCAGAUUAGGUUGGAGAAAAAGGAACUGGAAACUUCACAGAGGAAGAGGGAACCACUUUCACAUUUGUGAGAGAUCGUGUCUGGUUUCACCAGUUAGUUAAUUCUCCAUAUAGUUCCUCUUUUACUACCAGCCACAAUGAGGUUGUGCCCUUUGCCUUGUUUUAGAGCAUCCA
Long non-coding RNA from Eublepharis macularius, 995 nucleotides. RefSeq lists it as uncharacterized. The record is from RefSeq and is a predicted model, not a curated record. NCBI's taxonomy places the organism in Eukaryota, Metazoa, Chordata, Lepidosauria, Squamata, Eublepharidae. The transcript is spliced from 3 exons.